RNAcentral lists this ribosomal RNA (465 nucleotides) under uncultured bacterium. Its description in RNAcentral is "partial 16S ribosomal RNA". It matches the Rfam family "Bacterial small subunit ribosomal RNA", at positions 28 to 507 of the family's 1533-position model. The record is from RNAcentral.
GACGAACGCUGGCGGCGUGCUUAACACAUGCAAGUCGAACGGAAAGGCCCCUUUGGGGGUCCUCGAGUGGCGAACGGGUGCGUAACACGUGCGUAACCUGCCCUUGACUUCGGGAUAACUUCAGGUAACUGGGGCUAAUACCGGAUAGGAAUCCUUGCUGCAUGGUGGGGGUUGGAAAGCUUCGGCGGUUUUGGAUGGACUCGCGGCUUAUCGGCUUGUUGGUGCGGUAGUGGCUUACCAAGGCUUUGACGGGUGGCCGGCCUGAGAGGGCGACCGGCCAUACUGGGACUGAGAGGAGGCCGAGACUGCGACGGGAGGGAGAUGGGGGGAAGAUUGAACGAGGGGCGGAAGGCGGAUGCAGAAACGCCGCGGGUCGGAUGACGGCCUUAGGGGUGUAAACCGCAUUCAGCAGGAGCGAAGCUUGUGGUGACGGUACCUGAAGAAGAAGCACCGGCUAACUACGUG